GAUGAACGCUGGCGGCGUGCCUAAUACAUGCCAGUAGAACGCUGAAGGAGGAGCUUGCUCUUCUGGAUGAGUUGCGAACGGGUGAGUAACGCGUAGGUAACCUGCCUGGUAGCGGGGGAUAACUAUUGGAAACGAUAGCUAAUACCGCAUGACAACAGUUAUUGCAUGAUAACUGUUUAAAAGGGGCAACUGCUCCACUACCAGAUGGACCUGCGUUGUAUUAGCUAGUUGGUGAGGUAACGGCUCACCAAGGCGACGAUACAUAGCCGACCUGAGAGGGUGAUCGGCCACACUGGGACUGAGACACGGCCCAGACUCCUACGGGAGGCAGCAGUAGGGAAUCUUCGGCAAUGGACGGAAGUCUGACCGAGCAACGCCGCGUGAGUGAAGAAGGGUUUCGGAUCGUAAAGCUCUGUUGUAAGAGAAGAACGAGUGUGAGAGUGGAAAGUUCACACUGUGACGGUAUCUUACCAGAAAGGGACGGCUAACUACGAG
Molecule: ribosomal RNA, 495 nt
Filed under: uncultured bacterium
Lineage: Bacteria
Description: partial 16S ribosomal RNA
Rfam family: Bacterial small subunit ribosomal RNA
Source: RNAcentral